This 429-nucleotide ribosomal RNA is filed under the name Pseudomonadota bacterium. Its description in RNAcentral is "Proteobacteria bacterium partial 16S ribosomal RNA". It matches the Rfam family "Bacterial small subunit ribosomal RNA", at positions 355 to 776 of the family's 1533-position model. The record is from RNAcentral. Lineage: Bacteria; Pseudomonadati; Pseudomonadota.
UGGGGAAUAUUGGACAAUGGGCGAAAGCCUGAUCCAGCCAUGCCGCGUGUGUGAAGAAGGUCUUCGGAUUGUAAAGCACUUUAAGUUGGGAGGAAGGGCAGUAAGCGAAUACCUUGCUGUUUUGACGUUACCGACAGAAUAAGCACCGGCUAACUCUGUGCCAGCAGCCGCGGUAAUACAGAGGGUGCGAGCGUUAAUCGGAUUUACUGGGCGUAAAGCGUGCGUAGGCGGCUAAUUGAGUCGGAGGUGAAAUCCCCGAGCUUAACUUGGGAAUUGCAUUCGAUACUGGUUAGCUAGAGUGUGGGAGAGGAUGGUAGAAUUCCAGGUGUAGCGGUGAAAUGCGUAGAGAUCUGGAGGAAUACCGAUGGCGAAGGCAGCCAUCUGGCCUAACACUGACGCUGAGGUACGAAAGCAUGGGGAGCAAACAGG